This 484-nucleotide ribosomal RNA is filed under the name uncultured bacterium. RNAcentral's name for it is "partial 16S ribosomal RNA". It matches the Rfam family "Bacterial small subunit ribosomal RNA", at positions 30 to 507 of the family's 1533-position model. The record is from RNAcentral.
AGUGAACGCUGGCGGCAGGCCUAACACAUGCGAGUCGAGCGGCAGCGGGUCCUUCGGGAUGCCGGCGAGCGGCGGACGGGUGAGGAAUACAUCGGAAUCUGCCCUGUCGUGGGGGAUAACCUAGGGAAACUUAGGCUAAUACCGCAUACGACCUACGGGUGAAAGCGGGGGAUCGCAAGACCUCGCGCGACAGGAUGAGCCGAUGUCCGAUUAGCUAGUUGGCGGGGUAAAGGCCCACCAAGGCGACGAUCGGUAGCUGGUCUGAGAGGAUGAUCAGCCACACUGGGACUGAGACACGGCCCAGACUCCUACGGGAGGCAGCAGUGGGGAAUAUUGGACAAUGGGCGCAAGCCUGAUCCAGCCAUGCCGCGUGGGUGAAGAAGGCCUUCGGGUUGUAAAGCCCUUUUGUCCGGGAAGAAAUCGUCUGGGCUAAUACCCCGGGCGGAUGACGGUACCGGAAGAAUAAGCACCGGCUAACUUCGUG